Molecule: ribosomal RNA, 447 nt
Filed under: uncultured bacterium
Lineage: Bacteria
Description: bacterial SSU rRNA
Rfam family: Bacterial small subunit ribosomal RNA
Source: RNAcentral
UGGAUUAGGCAUGCAAGUCGUACGAACCUUCGGGUUAGUGGCGAACGGGUGAGUAACACGUGGGUAACCUGCCUCGUAGUGGGGAAUAACUCGCCGAAAGGCGAGCUAAUACCGCAUAACACCCCCGGUGAGAAUCCGGGUGGUAAAAGCUCCGGCGCUAUGAGAGGGGCCCGCGGCCGAUUAGCUAGUUGGUGGGGUAACGGCCUACCAAGGCGACGAUCGGUAGCUGGUCUGAGAGGAUGGUCAGCCACACGGGGACUGAGAUACGGCCCCGACUCCUACGGGAGGCAGCAGCUAAGAAUCUUGCGCAAUGGGCGAAAGCCUGACGCAGCAAUUCCGCGUGGGGGACGAAGGCCCUCGGGUCGUAAACCCCUUUUGUGAGGGAAGAAGUUCUGACGGUACCUCACGAAUAAGACACGGCUAACUACGUGCCAGCAGCCGCGGUAG